This 221-nucleotide ribosomal RNA is filed under the name uncultured bacterium. RNAcentral describes it as "partial 16S ribosomal RNA". It matches the Rfam family "Bacterial small subunit ribosomal RNA", at positions 335 to 543 of the family's 1533-position model. The record is from RNAcentral.
ACUCCUACGGGAGGCAGCAGUGGGGAAUAUUGCACAAUGGGCGCAAGCCUGAUGCAGCCAUGCCGCGUGUAUGAAGAAGGCCUUCGGGUUGUAAAGUACUUUCAGCAGUGAGGAAGGUGGAUAUGUUAAUAGACAUAUUCCAUUUGAUCGUUAGCUGCAGAAGAAGCACCGGCUAACUCCGUGCCAGCAGCCGCGGUAAUACGGAGGGUGCGAGCGUUAAU